CAAGACGACCGAGACGAAGAAAGGAGAGAGAAAGAGAGAGAGAGAGAGACGAUCGAGGGGAUUGUAAAAAAAUGACGGUGAUUAAGCUCUAUUUCGGGAGCAGCGCGGCUGCCAGUUCAGCGCGCGCAAGCUCGUAAAAUUUUCACGCUCAACUCGCGAGUCCCGGGGUAUAUCCGAUUUUUCGACCGAUAAGCGUCAUCCUUCCACGAUUACGAAUCGAGCCUUCGCCGUGUAUUUUUUCACAGUGCAAGCUUCGUAAUUGAACAAAAAAGUAACAAUAAUAAUAAUAAUAAUAAAACGAGGUAGAGCAGUUCUGCACACAUACACACAGGGGGCCACGCGUCUCGCGACGCCUAUAAGGCCUGGCCGCGCGCGCGAGUGAUCUAUUUCGGAAGCGAGCUCGGGAUUGGCCGAAGCCUCGAGCGUCCCGACGCCCAAUGGGCGGCUCCUGCCGAUCUCUGGCACGCGUCCCAACGGAUCGGAGGUCGGCUCGGUUUUCAUCUUCUCGCGCCCUCCCCACACUCGCUCGCUCGCGUGCUCUCGUUUUUUUUUUUCUUCUUCUUCGUCUUCUCGUCUGCGGGAUUUUUCGUUCCGCAGCUGCCGCCGCGCCGAUUUUUCCCGAAGAGAGACAUAGGCGAGUUUAGAGGAAAAAUUACGCAAGCUGCGUCGACUUUGACGAGCGUAGAGAAAAAAUCGGCGAUGCUCGGGCGGCUCGAUGAUUUCGAAGGAUGAUCAUCACCUCAGCUCGCGAGCGAGAGAUAUACGCGUAUAAUUGACGGCGUCGCCUUGGACACGCGGACCCGAAGGCCGCUGAUUUUCAAGGCGGAUGCCAAUUCCAUGUGGUUACGAAAUGCAGUAGCCGAACGAGAUGGAAGGUGUGAGCGAAAGAUAGAGAUGAUGCAGUACAGCGUCGUUGGGUGCGUAACUCGUAAUGAGAGAUCGAUGAUUGAGUUUCGUUGAAAAAUUUCGGCUUUCAAGUCGCGCAUACUGCAGCAGCGUCCUUAGGACAUGGGAAGAGAGAAGAGUAAAAAAAAAAAAACGAGUCGCUCUCAUCGCUAAUUUACAUGAAUGUCGAAUCCACAUCGGCCAUUUUUUAUAUACAUAUUAAUGCAAACGAGUAGGGAAAGAACAAAUAACCGCUACACGCAGAUUUCGCAAUUCAACAGGAUCGAGAGGCUUUAAUUGGCCGCAUAGAGAAAGCACCGGCUAUAUGUUUUCGUUGAUCUUGAAAAUUUUUUCUCGCCGGCGACCUGCACUCUCGGCAAUCCGAGCUUAUAAAUACUAUGACGACAGAGCCGUGACACUUUUCGGCGGAAUGACGUCAUUGGCGACCGGUUUCUCUGAAAAUUUAAGAUCAUCGAACGCGCGUGGUGUGUUGCAUAAUUGAAGAAUAUAAAGGAAAAAUCGCGAGAGAGACUUUUUUUUUAAUACGAAUAUGUAUCGACGCACGAUCGGUGAUAAACACGCCAGAGCCGCGUCUCGGAUUUUCAUUGAUAAGAGAGUCGAACCGAAAAAAAAAAACGAAAGAGAAGAAACUUCACUCGCAUUCCCUAAUCAAAUCCCGCCGCGUCUGUCAAAAAACGUCCUCUACUCGACAGCAGCAGCAACCCAUCGCGAGUGAGCAAACGUUAUCUCUACAGAGCGGCGCAUAUAAACGCGUUAUACCGCACUGCAGCAGUAGCAUCAGGCCAGGUAAAGUGGAAGAUGAAGAAUGACAGUGCAAGCGACGUGAUUGCAUUUCUCCCUCUCUGGCUCGCGAUCGCGGGAAAUUCGAACGAUCCAAUUAUACGUAUUAUAACGAACGACGACUGCUGCGACUAAUUCGCUUAGAUACACGCCACCGCGGCUCGGAAAUAGCGGCGCCGAGAGAGAGAGAGAGAGAGAGAGAGAGAGUAGCGCGAGCGAGCGAUCGGUCUCGCGGAAUUAUUUAGAAUCUGCCCAGGUGCUGCUGCUGCUGCUGCAAAGGUGAACGAUCCCGCAGACUUGCAUAAUAGGGGAAGCGCUUUUCACGGAUAUUCCCUCUCCGAUGCUAGUUUAUGUGUGCCUCGUGGGGUGGGUAAUUGAUAUGUGGUUACAGGGUAUUGAACCCCUGCAUACAGAGCUGAACGCGGUAUCAUGUGUGUUUUGGAGUGGAAGUUUUGAAAAUAAUAAUUUUGAAUUUCGCGCUCCAAGGAUAACAAAACAUCGUAUACUCCACAGCGUGUAAGACAGUCCAUAGAACCGAAAACUUGUUCACGUAGCGGCUCGUCGUGAAACAAGCGUUCCCCAUCAGCCUUUGCACGUGCGCGGGGCCGGUAUUACACUCGUUUUCUUUCCGCUGUGCGGCUCGGCUGCUGCAGAGAGAGAGAGAGCUGCGCUCUCAAAAGCAAGCGCGGAUCGGCACGUGCCACUCGAUAAAUCUGUCGCCGGCAGCUGACGUCGGGAGCAGCCGGCGAUUUUCUCUCUCUCUCUCUCUCUCUCUCUCUCUCCUUAGCUUUGCAGCCGUACGCACUCGUAUUUCCGAUUAUUCCUUCCUCUUGACGCUCUGAGUGAGAGAGAGAGAGAGAGAGAGAGAGAGAGAGGGAGAAGGAGCGGGUAAUAACGAUGAUUUGGAUUUUAUAAUAUGUAUAUCGUAGGUUUCUGGGAUUAAAGUGACAUACCAUAGCUCGACGUUUAGUCACUAGCUGAGUGAAUCACGCGUCGCAAAAAAUCGCCGCAAGACGCUUUGCGUUAAGUAUACAUCCUCUCCGAAGACACGUAUAUGAAUUAAAAGAAGGGACGACACCAAUUCUCGGAGGAAAAAUGAUUCCGAGCAGCCGGCAGGAAGGGCAUUAAAAACUCAUCGUCCUCCCCCCCCCCCACCCCCCUAUACACACAAUCAUUAAAAGGAAUCACUCAGGCGUCCGCGCACGACACAAUAAUGUCAUCUUCUUCCUAUACGCUAUACAUGCCCCUCUCAAGAGAGACAUGAAAAUUUCCCCGUCUCGUAUCCUCUUCCUCAACAGCCGGAAAAGCGCAGAAAAGCCGCGGAGUAGUAGGCGAGAGAGACGUGUGCGUACACGUCCCUCGCUCGUAAAAAACAAUCUAAAAAUAGCGCAAGACGUGAGUCAAGAAGAAGAAGAAGAAGAAGUAAAUCUCUCUUUCUCUCUCUCUCUCUCUCUAACCAUCUCUCGCCAGCCCCCCUUUAAAGCUUCUUCUUUUUUUUUUCAAGCUGCGGCGCGUGUGCACACACGGAUAUCUGGGCGCGUGCCGUUGGCAAGUGUGGAGGGAAGGGGGGGAGGGGGGACGUGCAUUCCUAGGAGGCGAUGCGGCUCGAGCUUUACACGAGGGCGGGGACGAGGGUUUUCCUUAUUUUUCCUGGAAUAUCGGAUUGUUCGGGAUUAUAGUCACGGGGGGAAGAUGCAUAGGUGUGAUGCAGCAGCUUCCGCUCGGUGACUUCGAUGGCUCGCGGCGGAUAUAAUAUACUUGGAAGAAGCGCUGGAUGCCAAGUUGUAUAGGGAAACUGUUGCUCGAAGCUCGUUGGAUGUUCCUGGGGAAAUGACGUGGGUUUAUGUAAUGACUUUUUCUGCAGGUAUAGCGAGCUAUUUAUAAACAAAUUCGCGAUCGGCUUCUUGCAGCGCUGGAAGCUUACUUCCGUAUUGAAUAUAGAGAAGGCCGCAAGCUGUGAAUGCUUUAAAAAAAAAAAAAAAAAAAAAAAAAACAGCAUCAUCGUUAUAACCCCUUGAUAUUCUUUCAGACGAAAUUCCUUGAACCUGACAUUCCCGCCUCGCUCAUCCGCGAAAGCUCUGCAAGCUUCGUUUAAAACUCUCCGCUCUCAAAGCUCCUCUCUACCUCUCUCUGAUUCCCUCACUCCUCGGCUUUUUACAUACCCCCCUUCUCGCGUACAGUCGAAGCAAAAAGACGGGAAAAAUUGGCAAACGCGCUUGGCGUAGGGUCAACGCGUGCCUUUUCCCCCUCUCCAUUGCUCUGCCCCAAGAGUCUUUGUCCUAGGCGCGGUUCGCGCUAAAAUUAACUUUCGGCUAAGACCAAGACGACGACGCCGGCGACUCAGUCGGAGAAGAAGACGACGAAGAAGAAGAAGAAGCGAGAGCGAAACCGGAGCACGUGCGAGAGCGAGUGAGAGAGAGAGAGAGAGGACUGCCGCCUUGUCCUCCUUUCACCCUCCCGAAUGCAAGCGAGGCCCAUCAAUUAGCGGAUGCAGGAGUGCACGGAUCUCUCGACUCUCUGGCUUUUCGGAGAAGAGAGAGAGAGAGAGAGAGAGAGAGAGAGGAGAGGGCGAAGAUGCUUGGCGAGCUUGGUGUUGUUGACUGCAUACGCUCAUGUUUUUAACGUGUUUUUUUUUUCUUCUUUUAAUUUCGAAGGCUAUCGUUUUUUGUGCAGCAGUGCGAAGGAAUGGUGGAUACGAGCGAAGCGAUCGAUUUGAAGGGUCCCGACUGUUACGCGAGUAAAACGAAGAACGAUCUUCUACGCAAGCGAGCAAAGCCCCCGCUGAGAAUUGAGUUUGAAUCGUGGAAACGUGUGCUGACCCCCUAGAAGGUGUGAUCCACGCGAGGGAACGCCGUUAAUCACGCCUCGAACUACAAACUAUACAGCCAUCUGCUUUACGGACGUUUUCCUUCUAAAAUGUUGAGUUAAUUUUCAAAAUACGAAUAUCAAACGUCCUCGGUAUACGGCGCAAUGACGUUGGGCUGAAAAUCUUGACUAUACAGUGCAAGCUAUCCCACACACAUAUGCUUCUGCAAAGGAAGCAUCAGAGUGCGGGCGACUGGCUCUUCAAAGGCUUAUCGGUAUGCGCGUGUGCCGUCGCUUCAUGCAGGCAUGGAAGAAAGAAAUAAGUGGGCUUGAUUUGAUUAUCGCUCGAGUCUGAUGAUUCUGGAGAAUGGCCAGAUGGCUUUUCGAUGAUGAUGAUGAUGAUGCUGGUCCAUUAGGAUCAUCGGAAGCUUAUACGCUCUCUUUGUUUCAUUGGAUUCUUCUUGGAACAAUUGAUUUGUAAAUUCAUACUUUUUAUGGGUCUGACCCGCUGGUAUAGUUCCGACGUGAGAAGCUCCGAUGAAUGAUGAUUAAAAUUUGAAAAAUUCAAAAGCUACCUGCAGGAAACCGGAGUAUUAUUCAUCUACCAAGCGGAGAUUAUACUCGCCUAGCUGAACUGAAUUAUCGGGACUCGAUAGAGCUGAAGGAAUAACGAAAACUUCAAGAUCCACAACGCCGUCUCUUUUGAGAAAAAAAAAAAACGUAUAAUACGAA
This is a long non-coding RNA of Nasonia vitripennis (jewel wasp), 5223 nucleotides long. RefSeq lists it as uncharacterized. NCBI's taxonomy places the organism in Eukaryota, Metazoa, Arthropoda, Insecta, Hymenoptera, Pteromalidae. The transcript is spliced from 2 exons. The record is from RefSeq and is a predicted model, not a curated record.